This 392-nucleotide ribosomal RNA is filed under the name uncultured bacterium. Its description in RNAcentral is "partial 16S ribosomal RNA". It matches the Rfam family "Bacterial small subunit ribosomal RNA", at positions 523 to 918 of the family's 1533-position model. The record is from RNAcentral.
AUACGGAGGAUGCGAGCGUUAUCCGGAUUUAUUGGGUUUAAAGGGAGCGUAGGCGGGAGCUUAAGUCAGCGGUUAAAUGGUGCGGCUCAACCGUGCCCUGCCGUUGAAACUGGGUUUCUUGAGAGUGCAAGAGGCGGAUGGAAUUCAUGGUGUAGCGGGGAAAUGCUUAGAUAUCAUGAAGAACUCCGAUUGCGAAGGCAGUCCGCUGGGGCACGUCUGACGCUGAUGCUCGAAGGUGCGGGAAUCAAACAGGAUUAGAUACCCUGGUAGUCCGCACGGUAAACGAUGAUUACCCGCUGUCGGCGGCAGACAGUCGGCGGCCAAGCGAAAGCGAUAAGUAAUCCACCUGGGGAGUACGCCGGCAACGGUGAAACUCAAAUGAAUUGACGGGG